GCCAGGCGUGGAGGCUCACGCCUGUAAUCCCAGCACUUUGGGAGGCCGAGAUGGGUGGAUCACCUGAGGUCAGGAGUUUGAGACCAACCUGGCCAACAUGGUGAAACCCCAUCUCUA
Callithrix jacchus (white-tufted-ear marmoset) is the source of this 117-nucleotide unclassified non-coding RNA. It matches the Rfam family "Metazoan signal recognition particle RNA". Rfam says of the family: The signal recognition particle (SRP) is a universally conserved ribonucleoprotein. It is involved in the co-translational targeting of proteins to membranes. The eukaryotic SRP consists of a 300-nucleotide 7S RNA and six proteins: SRPs 72, 68, 54, 19, 14, and 9. The record is from Ensembl. Lineage: Eukaryota; Metazoa; Chordata; Mammalia; Primates; Cebidae.